This 433-nucleotide long non-coding RNA is filed under the name Callithrix jacchus (white-tufted-ear marmoset). RNAcentral's name for it is "lncRNA (ENSCJAG00000057143.2)". Lineage: Eukaryota; Metazoa; Chordata; Mammalia; Primates; Cebidae. The record is from RNAcentral.
CAGCCAGUAACCAUGUGAGUGAGCUUGUAAGUGGAUUCCUUAAUGCCAGUCAAGGCUAGAGAUGAAUAUAGCAUCAGCUCAUGAGAGACCUUGAGCCAUAAAAAUUUAGGCCAAGAAUAGAAAACAAGGCAUUGGGAAGAACAUCAUGAGCAAAGGAAUGAAGUGGGACUGAAAUGCUAUGUUGUUGUAUUCUGGCUGGAAACACAGGAUACAAGAAGGCAGAACUGCCUCACAUCUGAGUCAGAAUCCUGGGCUUGAUUUCUCAUGUAACUGAUGAAAAUAUCUCCCACAAAAUGAUGACCAUAAAUAAGAAACAUCAGAAUACUUGCUUUGGCAGAUGACACCAAGAUAACUCGAAGGUAUGUCUCCUUUUUUUUGGAUGUUAAAAAGUCUGUUUCAACUACUCAUUUUUUCACAGAGACUCAACUGCUCC